UUCCCGCUGACGAGCGGCGGACGGGUGAGUAAUGCUUAGGAAUCUGCCCAGUAGUGGGGGAUAGCCCGGGGAAACCCGGAUUAAUACCGCAUACGUCCUACGGGAGAAAGCAGGGGAUCUUCGGACCUUGCGCUAUUGGAUGAGCCUAAGUCGGAUUAGCUAGUUGGUGGGGUAAAGGCCUACCAAGGCGACGAUCCGUAGCUGGUCUGAGAGGAUGAUCAGCCACAUCGGGACUGAGACACGGCCCGAACUCCUACGGGAGGCAGCAGUGGGGAAUAUUGGACAAUGGGGGCAACCCUGAUCCAGCCAUGCCGCGUGUGUGAAGAAGGCUUUCGGGUUGUAAAGCACUUUCAGUAGGGAGGAAAACCUUAUGGUUAAUACCCAUGAGGCUUGACGUUACCUACAGAAGAAGCACCGGCUAACUCCGUGCCAGCAGCCGCGGUAAUACGGAGGGUGCAAGCGUUAAUCGGAAUUACUGGGCGUAAAGCGCGCGUAGGUGGUUUGGUAAGCGAGAUGUGAA
Molecule: ribosomal RNA, 520 nt
Filed under: uncultured Marinobacter sp.
Lineage: Bacteria; Pseudomonadati; Pseudomonadota; Gammaproteobacteria; Pseudomonadales; Marinobacteraceae
Description: bacterial SSU rRNA
Rfam family: Bacterial small subunit ribosomal RNA
Source: RNAcentral